GUAGGUGGCAAGCGUUAUCCGGAAUUAUUGGGCGUAAAGAGUACGUAGGCGGUUCUUUAAGCGCAGGGUUUAAGGCGAUAGCUUAACUAUCGUUCGCCCUGUGAACUGGGGGACUUGAGUAUCGGAGAGGAAAGCGGAAUUCCUAGUGUAGCGGUGAAAUGCGUAGAUAUUAGGAGGAACACCAGUGGCGAAGGCGGCUUUCUGGACGAAAACUGACGCUGAGGUACGAAAGCGUGGGGAGCAAA
Molecule: ribosomal RNA, 245 nt
Filed under: uncultured bacterium
Lineage: Bacteria
Description: partial 16S ribosomal RNA
Rfam family: Bacterial small subunit ribosomal RNA
Source: RNAcentral